This 222-nucleotide long non-coding RNA is filed under the name Hordeum vulgare. RNAcentral's name for it is "long non-coding RNA (HVUL_LNC012043)". The record is from RNAcentral. Lineage: Eukaryota; Viridiplantae; Streptophyta; Magnoliopsida; Poales; Poaceae.
UUUGUUUUUCUACUUUUUACCUCAUGGGCUUUAUUUGGUUGACUACUGAUCCCAUCAAGGGCUGUUGCGCCACCAUCAAGUCCACAUGGCCCUCUUAGGGAGUGGUGGGCCCACCUGGUGGACCCCCGGUACCCGUUCGUCACUCCCGGUACACUGCCGGUAAUGCGCGAAAUCCUUCCGGGAUCCAAAUACCAACUUCCUACAUAUCAAUCUUCAUUUUCC